RNAcentral lists this long non-coding RNA (1120 nucleotides) under Aotus nancymaae (Ma's night monkey). Its description in RNAcentral is "lncRNA (ENSANAG00000039564.1)". The record is from RNAcentral. Lineage: Eukaryota; Metazoa; Chordata; Mammalia; Primates; Aotidae.
UUUUAACCUGAAAAUUGGGAUACUGCUCAUGCCUUCCCACAAGCUGACUGAGGAUAAAUGAGAUUAUGUGGAUGCUCUUUAUAAACUUGAAGUCACUGGGAAGGCCAGUGUUGUCAUUAGGGAGCUCAAGAGUCUCACUGGGAGUUUCAUCUUUUGGGCUCAUGGUAGUACAGAUAUUUCUGUGAGGAAGAGGGAAUUUGAGUUUCUCAUGGUCAAGCUCAAUGAUGAGCUUGGUGAGUACCAGGAGGGUCAGGAAUAGGGUGAUGCAAAAUUUAAGGGAGUACCAAAAAGCUUAGUAAUAAGAUAAAUAACAAUGUCCUUCAAAAAUAGUCAAAGUUAAUGUAGACAAUCAAUAUGAACAAAAUAUCACACAUUAAACCAAAGCCAGAAUCAGUUUUACUUUUUUUUGUGUGCUUUAGCUCCAGUAUGACUCAGGAUGGCACAGGCUACUAAGCCAUUCCUUGAAGGAAUUCACCCAAAGACAGUAUGGUGGGGCACUCCCAGUUGUGUUCUGGAGUGGUUGCUGCUCUUAGAUAUGGAUCCAGAUCAAGUAGAGUAAUUAAAAAUGUUUAAUGUUCUUUGCUAUUUUUUUGAAGCAUAAAGAAGAAAGAGCAUAUCAUACCUCCCUGAAUUUUCACAAAAUGAGCACAUCCAAGGAACUAGCACCCAGAUGUAGAAAAAGGAUGCUAUCAGCACUGCAGGGAACCAUCCCCCACUGCUUUUGUCCCCUUCUAGUCAUAACUUAAGAGCCAUUUUCCUUGUGGGGACUCCUUCAUUAAGUAGUAAUUUUUGCCUUGUAGAGAUAUGUGCAUAUCUGACCCAGGAGCACAAACUAGGUUCAUACAAAUACUUGGUCCAUGAAAUGCUUUCAUUUUUGGCCCAUGGCUGAAAAAUGCAAGGGAAGAAGACCCCAGAAAUGUAUCAGUGAGAAAUUAGCAAGGUUCAACCAGAUGAAAGCCCCUUCCUCUCUUGGGCCCAGGCAUAGAUUUGGGCAAGUGGGCAGCUAUUUCGGAUCUAUCACCAAAACACUUUGAGUGAGCACCUCCUCUGCCCCAGGAUUUAUACUAAACACCAUAGUUGCAGAAAGGCAUAGAACUCUUCAAGGAACUGCAGCUCUUCA